Molecule: long non-coding RNA, 348 nt
Filed under: Equus asinus (donkey)
Lineage: Eukaryota; Metazoa; Chordata; Mammalia; Perissodactyla; Equidae
Description: lncRNA (ENSEASG00005033622.1)
Source: RNAcentral
GAAGAAACCAGGUCAUUUAUUCUGUAUAGUUUCACACAGUCCGGAUUUUGCUGACUGCAUUCCAAUGUGUUCAUCAACAUGUUCCACUGAACCCUCCAUUUCCUGUAAAUUGGGGUCAAUCCACCUUGGGGCUGGGGAAAAAGCACUGGAGGAAGGUUCAGUCGGUGUGAGUUACGGCCUCAGUUCCGUGAGACGGCGCCGGUACUGGAAGGAACAGCAGGCUUGGACCCGAGAGAUCUUGUCUACAAAUACGUCUUUUUACAACACAUCAUUUAACUUUUCUUGCCUCCAGUUUAUUAAGCUGCACACCAGGGAGUUCCCUGCAUGGCCUGAGAAGGAUUAGGGAAU